AUGUUUUACUAUGGUCUAGAUUUCCAUGGUCUAGCCCCGGAUUCCUUCCUCCACAUCUCAGUGUUCAUCAUUGUGUGCGAGGCUCUACUCCGCAUCCCGCCACACUUCGGCCUAUGGCUCAAAAUCUUCAACGUGAAGCCGAAGGUGGUCGACGGGCAACAUGCAGACUGCGGUGGGGCUAUGAUAAGCAAACUGACAAAUGCCACAUGGACCAAGGGUGCCUUUGUCGAGACCGUUAAGGUUUUGCAGCAGCAGUGGUUCUACAUCACCGAGCCGCGCCGCGCCAACUGGGUGGCAAUUCUGGAGUUCAGAUCCGGACCCCCCAUGAGGCUCACUUCAUGGACCGCUAAUGGCCUCGACUGGGGGUCCCAGAAGGAGGUGCAGACGCUGCAAACGUGCAUCACCAACAUGCUAGGCAAGAAUGUUGGUCUCACUAAUGUGGUGGAGAUGAUGCUCUUCCAUUGCAUCCUCCCCUGCCAACGCCGGGCUUCCCCCAUGUGGGAAUUCAAUCGGGAGGAGCCACGGACCUUGAAGCACUUCCUCGGCACAACGCAUGAAGGAAUAUAG
RNAcentral lists this ribosomal RNA (567 nucleotides) under Triticum aestivum (bread wheat). RNAcentral describes it as "partial small subunit ribosomal RNA". The record is from RNAcentral. Lineage: Eukaryota; Viridiplantae; Streptophyta; Magnoliopsida; Poales; Poaceae.